AAAGAUCUUUUAGAUGCACAUAUCCCUCCGGGAGGGCGAUUGGGAUGUGGGCAUAAGGGCCUUUAUGACACAAUUAAUAAUUCGAUUCAUUUUCAAUUAGGCCUUGCUCUAGCUUCUUUAGGGGUUAUUACUUCUUUGGUAGCUCAACACAUGUACUCUUUACCCGCUUAUGCAUUUAUAGCACAAGACUUUACUACUCAAGCUGCGUUAUAUACUCAUUACCAAUACAUCGCAGGAUUCAUCAUGACAGGAGCUUUUGCUCAUGGAGCUAUAUUUUUUAUUAGGGAUUACAAUCCGGAACAGAAUGAGGAUAAUGUAUUGGCAAGAAUGUUAGAACAUAAUGAAGCUAUCAUCAAC
Long non-coding RNA from Helianthus annuus (common sunflower), 357 nucleotides. RefSeq lists it as uncharacterized. The record is from RefSeq and is a predicted model, not a curated record. The transcript is spliced from 3 exons. NCBI's taxonomy places the organism in Eukaryota, Viridiplantae, Streptophyta, Magnoliopsida, Asterales, Asteraceae.